AUUGAACGCUGGCGGCAUGCCUUACACAUGCAAGUCGAACGGUAACAGGUCUUCGGAUGCUGACGAGUGGCGAACGGGUGAGUAAUACAUCGGAACGUGCCUAGUAGUGGGGGAUAACUACUCGAAAGAGUGGCUAAUACCGCAUGAGAUCUACGGAUGAAAGCAGGGGAUCGCAAGACCUUGUGCUACUAGAGCGGCCGAUGGCAGAUUAGGUAGUUGGUGGGAUAAAAGCUUACCAAGCCGACGAUCUGUAGCUGGUCUGAGAGGACGAUCAGCCACACUGGGACUGAGACACGGCCCAGACUCCGACGGGAGGCAGCAGUGGGGAAUUUUGGACAAUGGGCGCAAGCCUGAUCCAGCAAUGCCGCGUGCAGGAUGAAGGCCUUCGGGUUGUAAACUGCUUUUGUACGGAACGAAAAGCCCUGGGUUAAUACCCUGGGGCCAUGACGGUACCGUAAGAAUAAGCACCGGCUAACUACGUGCCAGCAGCCGCAGUAA
Molecule: ribosomal RNA, 498 nt
Filed under: uncultured bacterium
Lineage: Bacteria
Description: partial 16S ribosomal RNA
Rfam family: Bacterial small subunit ribosomal RNA
Source: RNAcentral